Leopardus geoffroyi (Geoffroy's cat) is the source of this 406-nucleotide long non-coding RNA. RefSeq lists it as uncharacterized. The transcript has 3 exons. NCBI's taxonomy places the organism in Eukaryota, Metazoa, Chordata, Mammalia, Carnivora, Felidae. The record is from RefSeq and is a predicted model, not a curated record.
ACUGAGUGGGCUUUGAAGCGCCCGGCUGCCUGGGCCACUGCUCCUCCUAGCGCAGGCGGUGAGGCGUGAUUCCUGGCCGUCACCACCCACCGGCCAGGGGCCGCGAGCUCGAACAAUGAGGAACUGAGGAUUAUAAUCACGUACUUGCACAAGGGAUAUUUGGACACAGAGAUACAGAUGAAGGGAAGACACAGUAAAGACGCAGGGGGAGUACAAGCCAAAGAGAAGGAAGCGUGGGACAGAUCCUUCCCUCACAGCCCUCAGAAGGUACCAAUGCUGCCAGCACCUUGAUCUUGGACUUCCAUCCUCCAGAACUGUGAGACAACAAACUUCUGUCAUUUACGCCACCCACUCUGUGGCACUUUGUUACAGGGGGCAUAGCAAACCAAUAUAGGAUAUACUGCUA